This 497-nucleotide ribosomal RNA is filed under the name uncultured bacterium. RNAcentral describes it as "partial 16S ribosomal RNA". It matches the Rfam family "Bacterial small subunit ribosomal RNA", at positions 28 to 507 of the family's 1533-position model. The record is from RNAcentral.
GAUGAACGCUGGCGGCGUGCCUAAUACAUGCAAGUCGAGCGAACAGACGAGGAGCUUGCUCCUCUGACGUUAGCGGCGGACGGGUGAGUAACACGUGGAGAACCUACCUAUAAGACUGGGAUAACUUCGGGAAACCGGAGCUAAUACCGGAUAAUAUAUUGAACCGCAUGGUUCAAUAGUGAAAGACGGUUUUGCUGUCACUUAUAGAUGGAUCCGCGCCGCAUUAGCUAGUUGGUAAGGUAACGGCUUACCAAGGCAACGAUGCGUAGCCGACCUGAGAGGGUGAUCGGCCACACUGGAACUGAGACACGGUCCAGACUCCUACGGGAGGCAGCAGUAGGGAAUCUUCCGCAAUGGGCGAAAGCCUGACGGAGCAACGCCGCGUGAGUGAUGAAGGUUUUCGGAUCGUAAAACUCUGUUAUUAGGGAAGAACAAAUGUGUAAGUAACUAUGCACGUCUUGACGGUACCUAAUCAGAAAGCCACGGCUAACUACGUG